UUGGUUUGUGCUAAGUUAAACUUGUUCAACUUUAACCAAGUUUAUAAAAAAUAUAAUAACAUUUACAAUACAAAACAUAUGCCCUAUCAAAAUAUAUUUUAUGGUGGAUUCAAUCAAACAAAUUAUGUAUUAUAAAUGUUGUUAUAUUUUUUUAUAAAUUUAGUCAAAGUUGCACAAGUUUGACUUAGAACAAAACAAA
This 199-nucleotide microRNA precursor is filed under the name Dichanthelium oligosanthes. RNAcentral's name for it is "MIR1435 microRNA precursor family". It matches the Rfam family "MIR1435 microRNA precursor family". Lineage: Eukaryota; Viridiplantae; Streptophyta; Magnoliopsida; Poales; Poaceae. The record is from Rfam by way of RNAcentral.